UUGACUUUAGUGGUUUCUGUUUCUAUAUGUCUUUGUUUAUGUCUAUCUGUAGGAUAGUUUGUGUCGUAUUUUGUGCGGAACUACACAUAUAGCUAAUAGUGGUCACUCCAGAUAAGUUAGUAGACGUAUAGAGUCUGCAAUACAGCAUGUGGUUAACAACCAAGUGGUUAACAAUGCCUUUAUAAACAAUGUAUCAAUAAUGUAUGGAUACCAUACAAAUAUUAUCAUGGAUAGACUACUUAUGAGAUAAAGAAGCGUAGAUAUUGGUGAAAUAGCAAUAUAAAAACAAUAGUUUGCUUAUUGCUUUGAUACACCACUUUUGCCACUGUAUGAGGCACAGUAGAAAGUUAUGGUUAUUCUACGCCACCCAGAAUUCUGUCAGAUCUGGGAUUGAGAUGUGUUUAGGAUUCAUUGUUUAUGACCCAGGGGGUAUGAGUGUGAGAGAACCCAACUCUGAGGUCUUGCUUUUUGUUUCCUGUCGAUCGCCCUUUUCCUUGUCUCCAUCACACAGCUUGUCAGAAUAACUAUGCCCGCAGUCUUCCAUUUGGAUGGCUGAAGAAACCCUUCGCUCUCCUCAUUUAUUUCAUCACCCUCCUCUCCUUCACGCUUCCAUCUAUUAUUGAAAGCAGUCAGGCAGCCCCUCCCCUUUCCUCCUCUCCUCUCCAAACCCCAGCCCUCUCACCCCUGCCCCCACCACUGUGCUUGAAUUAUUCAUGGUGGGUUGCAGCGACAAGAGGGAUUCGCCACAGCCCAGGCCCUGACCUACAUAACCCCUGUAGCCCUGAGCAUCCAUGUGAUCCGUCCCACAAAUCCAGCCAACACACAUGCACGUACACACAAUGAGAUAGACAGACCAGUCGUUGACCAGGCCCCCCCAUUGAGACCUGCCUGCAUGAGCUAACAAGGACAGACAAACUCUCAAUACCCCUUCUCACCUCCGCCCACAGACAUUCCACCCUAUAUCCCAGUUCCAUCACCCCGAAUCAAAGAGAGGCCAUCUUACCACUGCCACCGUCUUCAUCCCCAGAGUGUGGCUGUGUGUGCUCAGGGAGCCAGACAAAGGGAAGUGGUGCCUGUAAAGGAUGCCUGCGGAGGUGUCGGAGUUGCAUGCGAGGGUUCAGUCACACAGACAGCCCUUGCUUUCUCAGCCACUGAUGCCUCACACAGACCCUAAAAUGGCAGAUAGCUAAAAAAAACUACACACCUGCCCUCAAAGUGGGAAAUGUGUCAGAAUUUGCAGUUAUACUCCCCCUGGGGGGGCCCUAUGUGACAAAAAUAUGAGGCAUAUUAAUCUUUUGUUAUGUGGAACUGAAGCUCAGCAGGACCAAGAUUGCGCAGGGGGCCGAUUAAAGGGUACUGUGACAAAGGGACUAGCGUGCUAGGUGGUGGGUAAAAGAUCCUGUCCCAGUGCUUCUGCUGCACACUAGAGUAAAGCACUUGGGAGAAAAUUACCCUCACUGUUCGAUGCAGCCUUUAAACAAGGUUCAUACUGGGGACAGAAACACGGGCACAGUAGUACUGAAUGUGCAGUACGGUACCGUGCAGUACAGCACAGCACCGUGCAGUACACUAAAUGGGAGUUUGUUUUGAGUUCACCCACCUCUGACCCCAUAACCACUGAGCUCGAAGGGUGUGAAAAGUAUCACACACAGUCAACACACUCUCUGUGUGGUGUGAGACUCACACCAGGGACUGGUGCUAGGGGAGAUGUGAGACUCACACCAGGGACUGGUGCUAGGGGAGGUGUGAGACUCACACCAGGGACUGGUGCUAUGGGAGGUGUGAGAAUCGCACCAGGGACCGGUGCUAGGGAGUGUGUGAGACUCACACCAGGGACCGCUGCUCGGGGAGGUGUGAGACUCGCACCAGGGACCGGUGCUAGGGAAGGUGUGAGACUCACACCAGGGACCGCUGCUAGGGGAGGUGUGAGACUCACACCAGGGACUGGUGCUAGGGAGGGUGUGAGACUCACACCAGGGACCGCUGUUAGGGGAGGUGUGAGAGUCACACCAGGGACCGCUGCUAGGGGAGGUGUGAGAGUCACACCAGGGACCGCUGCUAGGGGAGGUGUGAGAGUCACACCAGGGACCGCUGCUAGGGGAGGUGUGAGAGUCACACCAGGGACCGCUGCUAGGGGAGGUGUGAGACUCACACCAGGGACCGCUGCUAGGGGAGGUGUGAGACUCACACCAGGGACCGCUGCUAGGGGAGGUGUGAGAGUCACACCAGGGACCGGUGCUAGGGGAGGUGUGAGAGUCACACCAGGGACCGCUGCUAGGGGAGGUGUGAGACUCACCCAGGGACCGGUGCUAGGGGAGGUGUGAGACUCACACCAGGGACCGCUGCUAGGGGAGGUGUGAGAGUCACACCAGGGACCGCUGCUAGGGGAGGUGUGAGAGUCACACCAGGGACCGCUGCUAGGGGAGGUGUGAGACUCACACCAGGGACCGCUGCUAGGGGAGGUGUGAGACUCACACCAGGGACCGCUGCUAGGGGAGGUGUGAGACUCACACCAGGGACCGCUGCUAGGGGAGGUGUGAGACUCACACCAGGGACCGCUGCUAGGGGAGGUGUGAGAGUCACACCAGGGACUGGUGCUAGGGGAGGUGUGAGAGUCACACCAGGGACCGGUGCUAGGGAAGGUGUGAGAGUCACACCAGGGACUGGUGCUAGGGGAGGUGUGAGACUCACACCAGGGACCGGUGCUAGGGGAGGUGUGAGAGUCACACCAGGGACCGCUGCUAGGGGAGGUGUGAGACUCACCCAGGGACCGGUGCUAGGGGAGGUGUGAGACUCACCCAGGGACCGGUGCUAGGGGAGGUGUGAGACUCACACCAGGGACCGCUGCUUGGGGAGGUGUGAGAGCAUGGACAAAACCUCGACCCACAACUGAAGGAAAACGGAAUUGUAUUCCACUACAUUGAAUGACAUAUUUACAUAGGGAUACUGACAUUUCAGAUCUAAUGUUUGUACGUAGCUGGACACAAUUUCACAUUGCAAUUCAGUGUUAGGUCAACUUUUCAAAACCAUAAUGAACCAGAAAUUCAUCAACGCCUAAU
This is an RNA transcript of Oncorhynchus keta (chum salmon), 3059 nucleotides long. It is a transcript of the gene named mRNA decay activator protein ZFP36L3-like, with no coding region annotated. The transcript has 3 exons. Lineage: Eukaryota; Metazoa; Chordata; Actinopteri; Salmoniformes; Salmonidae. The record is from RefSeq and is a predicted model, not a curated record.